GGGCACAUGGUGUAGUUGGUUAUCACAUCCGCUUAGCAUGUUGCUUGUUCUUUGCGGGGGGUGCUGGGUUCAAUUCCCAGUGUGUCCA
Non-coding RNA from Lentinula edodes (shiitake mushroom), 88 nucleotides. NCBI's taxonomy places the organism in Eukaryota, Fungi, Basidiomycota, Agaricomycetes, Agaricales, Omphalotaceae. The record is from Rfam.